RNAcentral lists this ribosomal RNA (253 nucleotides) under uncultured bacterium. Its description in RNAcentral is "partial 16S ribosomal RNA". It matches the Rfam family "Bacterial small subunit ribosomal RNA", at positions 524 to 776 of the family's 1533-position model. The record is from RNAcentral.
UACGUAGGGUGCAAGCGUUGUCCGGAAUUAUUGGGCGUAAAGAGCUCGUAGGCGGUUUGUUGCGUCGGCUGUGAAAUCCCGAGGCUCAACCUCGGGUCUGCAGUCGAUACGAGCAAACUAGAGUGUUGCAGGGGAGACUGGAAUUCCUGGUGUAGCGGUGAAAUGCGCAGAUAUCAGGAGGAACACCAGUGGCGAAGGCGGUGCUCUGGGCCGGAACUGACGCUGAGGAGCGAAAGCGUGGGGAGCAAACAGG